GUUUGAUCCUGGCUCGGACGAACGCUGGCGGCGUGCCUAACACAUGCAAGUCGAGCGGGAUCCAACUAGUAGCAAUACUGGGGAAGAUCUAGCGGCGAACGGGUGAGUAACACGUGAGGAACCUGCCCCGAAGUCUGGGAUAACCCGAGGAAACUCGAGCUAAUACCGGAUGUCCUCCUCUGGUCGCAUGGCCGGUUGAGGAAAGAUUCAUCGCUUCGGGAGGGCCUCGCGGCCUAUCAGCUAGUUGGUGGGGUAACGGCCCACCAAGGCAUCGACGGGUAGCUGGUCUGAGAGGACGAUCAGCCACACUGGGACUGAGACACGGCCCAGACUCCUACGGGAGGCAGCAGUGGGGAAUCUUGCGCAAUGGGCGAAAGCCUGACGCAGCAACGCCGCGUGCGGGAUGAAGGCCUUCGGGUUGUAAACCGCUUUCAGGAGGGACGAAAUUGACGGUACCUUCAGAAGAAGCCCCGGCCAACUACGUGCCAGCAGCCGCGGUAACACGUAGGGGGCAAGCGUUGUCCGGAUUUAUUGGGCGUAAAGAGCUCGUAGGCGGCUUAGUAAGUCGGGUGUGAAACCUCCAGGCUCAACCUGGAGACGCCACCCGAUACUGCUGUGGCUAGAGUCCGGUAGGGGAGCG
This 640-nucleotide ribosomal RNA is filed under the name uncultured bacterium. RNAcentral's name for it is "bacterial SSU rRNA". It matches the Rfam family "Bacterial small subunit ribosomal RNA", at positions 11 to 661 of the family's 1533-position model. The record is from RNAcentral.